AUGUACAAUCACUCCCAUUUCGGUUGCUCUAAUUGGGAAGCUCUCUGCAACUCAUAUGGAUUUGACGAGGGUAUGCAAAUAACAUUUGAUGUUCGUCCCGAAGAUGAUGAUGAUAAUAUCGAUAUCUGGGUGGAUGUGGAUAUGCCUUCAGUUUUGCCUAAAUCUUAUUUCGUAUCUUCCAAAAAUACUCGAGAGGCUGUAGACAGGACAUACUACAGCUAUGACUCCGAGCUUAAUUGUGAGGAGAAAGGUUAUCUUGUCUCAUUCAUAGAUGAUGUUGAGGCCUUUAAAACCAAUCAUUUUAUCCUCCCAAAUUUUACUCGAUACGUGCCACUAGUGCAUAAAUUGCAUGAUGGUAACUUCAUUGCCAAAAACUUGGUAAGAUUUUGUUAA
This 393-nucleotide ribosomal RNA is filed under the name Triticum aestivum (bread wheat). RNAcentral describes it as "partial small subunit ribosomal RNA". The record is from RNAcentral. Lineage: Eukaryota; Viridiplantae; Streptophyta; Magnoliopsida; Poales; Poaceae.